RNAcentral lists this ribosomal RNA (485 nucleotides) under uncultured bacterium. Its description in RNAcentral is "partial 16S ribosomal RNA". It matches the Rfam family "Bacterial small subunit ribosomal RNA", at positions 40 to 507 of the family's 1533-position model. The record is from RNAcentral.
CGGCGUGCCUAAUACAUGCAAGUCGAGCGAACAGACGAGGAGCUUGCUCCUCUGACGUUAGCGGCGGACGGGUGAGUAACACGUGGAUAACCUACCUAUAAGACUGGGAUAACUUCGGGAAACCGGAGCUAAUACCGGAUAACAUGUUGAACCGCAUGGUUCAACAGUGAAAGACGGUUUUGCUGUCACUUAUAGAUGGAUCCGCGCCGCAUUAGCUAGUUGGUAAGGUAACGGCUUACCAAGGCAACGAUGCGUAGCCGACCUGAGAGGGUGAUCGGCCACACUGGAACUGAGACACGGUCCAGACUCCUACGGGAGGCAGCAGUAGGGAAUCUUCCGCAAUGGGCGAAAGCCUGACGGAGCAACGCCGCGUGAGUGAAGAAGGUCUUCGGAUCGUAAAACUCUGUUAUUAGGGAAGAACAAAUGUGUAAGUAACUAUGCACGUCUUGACGGUACCUAAUCAGAAAGCCACGGCUAACUACGUG